GCCGCGUGGGAUUGGGCGCUUGCCUUUUCAAGCCUGCAUGCUUGGCUGCCUCCGUCGAAUUUUGCACUUGCGUCUCAGUUUCGUCUUAUUUAUUUUUUUACUUUUCUUUUCUCUCUAGCAUAUAUCUGUCUGUUCUUAGAAAGGUACAUGUAUUUUCUUGCUUCGUUUCAUAUUAUCUUAAUUGGCAUAUAUAAACAUCUUUGAACGUGAAACACAUUUAAUACUUUCUCCGAUUUUUCUGUUUGACGCCGUUAACCUUUUGAUUUUAAUCUCUCGUCUUAUUCAAAAAAUUUAUAUAAUUAUUGACUAUUUUUAUUAUGAUUUGAUUUUUGUAAAUUUGAACAAAAAUUUUGAAAAGAUGGAG
This 364-nucleotide long non-coding RNA is filed under the name Oryza brachyantha (malo sina). RNAcentral describes it as "long non-coding RNA (OBRA_LNC000977)". The record is from RNAcentral. Lineage: Eukaryota; Viridiplantae; Streptophyta; Magnoliopsida; Poales; Poaceae.